This 491-nucleotide ribosomal RNA is filed under the name uncultured bacterium. RNAcentral's name for it is "partial 16S ribosomal RNA". It matches the Rfam family "Bacterial small subunit ribosomal RNA", at positions 29 to 507 of the family's 1533-position model. The record is from RNAcentral.
AGUGAACGCUGGCGGUAGGCCUAACACAUGCAAGUCGAACGGCAGCACAGUAAGAGCUUGCUCUUACGGGUGGCGAGUGGCGGACGGGUGAGGAAUACAUCGGAAUCUACUUUUUCGUGGGGGAUAACGUAGGGAACUUACGCUAAUACCGCAUACGACCUACGGGUGAAAGCAGGGGAUCUUCGGACCUUGCGCGAUUGAAUGAGCCGAUGUCGGAUUAGCUAGUUGGCGGGGUAAAGGCCCACCAAGGCGACGAUCCGUAGCUGGUCUGAGAGGAUGAUCAGCCACACUGGAACUGAGACACGGUCCAGACUCCUACGGGAGGCAGCAGUGGGGAAUAUUGGACAAUGGGCGCAAGCCUGAUCCAGCCAUACCGCGUGGGUGAAGAAGGCCUUCGGGUUGUAAAGCCCUUUUGUUGGGAAAGAAAGGCAGCAGGUUAAUACCCCGCUGUUCUGACGGUACCCAAAGAAUAAGCACCGGCUAACUUCGUG